This is a non-coding RNA of Tetranychus urticae (two-spotted spider mite), 453 nucleotides long. The record is from RefSeq and is a predicted model, not a curated record. Lineage: Eukaryota; Metazoa; Arthropoda; Arachnida; Trombidiformes; Tetranychidae.
UCUGUUUCUUAGAGCUUCCAUUCCCAAUCGGUUUCAACAUAGCGUAUACUGAUUACGACAACUAUCUGGUUGCAUACACUUGUCUCGGUAUUCCUCCCAUCUACACCGUUAAACACGGUUGGAUUUUGUCCAGGAAUAACACCAUCAGUGCUGACAAGCUUACCGAACUGACCGAUUUGUUGUUCACUAAGUAUGGAGUUUCACGCGAUGAGACUGAAUUCACAACCCAAAAGGACUGUAAAUACUGGCCAGUACCACAAUAAAUAGCAUUGAGAGUCAAAUAAUUGUAACGUUGUAAUGAAUGAUCGACUCAAGAACCUAAUUUAAACGAAUGAAUGAUAAAUAUCAUGAUUCUAACAAUAGGCAAAUGCAAAUCGUUACAUCGUUAAAUCAUCGUUACAAAUUGAAACAGUACUAAUAAACUGCUAAUGUUGCACAGUAAUCAUAUUUUAA